GUGCCAGCAGCCGCGGUAAUACGAAGGGGGCUAGCGUUGCUCGGAAUUACUGGGCGUAAAGCGCACGUAGGCGGCUCUUUAAGUCGGGGGUGAAAUCCUGGAGCUCAACUCCAGAACUGCCUUCGAUACUGUAGAGCUUGAGUUCGGGAGAGGUGAGUGGAACUGCGAGUGUAGAGGUGAAAUUCGUAGAUAUUCGCAAGAACACCAGUGGCGAAGGCGGCUCACUGGCCCGAUACUGACGCUGAGGUGCGAAAGCGUGGGGAGCAAACAGGAUUAGAUACCCCUGUAGUCC
This 292-nucleotide ribosomal RNA is filed under the name uncultured bacterium. Its description in RNAcentral is "partial 16S ribosomal RNA". It matches the Rfam family "Bacterial small subunit ribosomal RNA", at positions 505 to 796 of the family's 1533-position model. The record is from RNAcentral.